RNAcentral lists this signal recognition particle RNA (265 nucleotides) under Planctomycetota bacterium. RNAcentral describes it as "signal recognition particle sRNA large type". It matches the Rfam family "Bacterial large signal recognition particle RNA". Rfam says of the family: The signal recognition particle (SRP) is a universally conserved ribonucleoprotein involved in the co-translational targeting of proteins to membranes. Archaeal SRP consists of a 7S RNA and homologues of the eukaryotic SRP19 and SRP54 proteins. Lineage: Bacteria; Pseudomonadati; Planctomycetota. The record is from RNAcentral.
UCGUGCAGCCGGGGCGGUAGCGGUGCCCUGAACCCGAAAUCCGCUUUAUGCGGGGGUGAUGCCGCGCAGAGGGCUCUUCCCGGCCGAAGGAGGCCUUUGGACCGGGCGUCGAAGGCCGGGUCCCAUGCAAUGGGGCGGUGCGAACCUGGUCAGGCCCUGACGGGAGCAGCCAUAAGCAUGCGGUCCCAUGUGCAGUGGGGGCGCCUGGCUGGAGCCCGGGACGCUGGUCUUCUUUUUCCGGGAGGGUUCGAAGCGCGGCGCACGA